AUGAACGCUGGCGGCGUGCCUAAUACAUGCAAGUCGAGCGAACAGACGAGGAGCUUGCUCCUCUGACGUUAGCGGCGGACGGGUGAGUAACACGUGGAUAACCUACCUAUAAGACUGGGCUAACUUCGGGAAACCGGAGCUAAUACCGGAUAAUAUAUUGAACCGCAUGGUUCAAUAGUGACAGACGGUUUUGCUGUCACUUAUAGCUGGAUCCGCGCCGCAUUAGCUAGUUGGUAAGGUAACGGCUUACCAAGGCAACGAUGCGUAGCCGACCUGAGAGGGUGAUCGGCCACACUGGAACUGAGACACGGUCCAGACUCCUACGGGAGGCAGCAGUAGGGAAUCUUCCGCAAUGGGCGAAAGCUUGAAGGAGCAACGCCGCGUGAGUGAUGAAGGUCUUCGGAUCGUAAAACUCUGUUAUUAGGGAAGAACAAAUGUGUAAGUAACUAUGCACGUCUUGACGGUACCUAAUCAGAAAGCCACGGCUAACUACGUG
RNAcentral lists this ribosomal RNA (496 nucleotides) under uncultured bacterium. RNAcentral describes it as "partial 16S ribosomal RNA". It matches the Rfam family "Bacterial small subunit ribosomal RNA", at positions 29 to 507 of the family's 1533-position model. The record is from RNAcentral.